Molecule: long non-coding RNA, 1599 nt
Organism: Cyprinus carpio carpio
Lineage: Eukaryota; Metazoa; Chordata; Actinopteri; Cypriniformes; Cyprinidae
Source: Ensembl
GCUGGAGAUGCACUUCCUCACUGCAGCUGAACAGGCGACAGACGAUCCGCUCUGUGGCGCUCUGAUAGCAUGAAUUAUUAAGCGUGUGUUAGGGGAGCAGGCGACUUUAAGAUGUUAACUGAUGGACUGGAGUGCUGUGGAUUACUUGUGGAUUAUUGUGAUGUUUUUAUCAGCUGUUUGGACUCUCAUUCUGACGGCACCCAUUCACUGCAGAGCAUCCAUUGCUGAGACACUGAUGCAGUGCUACAUUUCUCCAAACCUGAUGAAGACACACUCUCAUCCUGAUCUCGGAUGCACUGAGAUUUGUGAAGAGAGCAUAAAGAAGCUUGUGACGAAGGCCGUCUGCAACCCAGAACAUCUGCAAGGCUUUGAAAGCCAACAAAACAACCUCUGUUGCCACAAUUUAGAGAAACUUUACAAGCUCUUUUCCAAGUGUGAUGAGCGCUUGCCAGUUGAAAGCACUAAUAGCUUGUGGAUGAAGGCAGAAAGACACGGCACUCUCUACCCAGAGAUCUCAGAGUUACUGCAGAACCGAGCCAGACCUCGCAACUCUUCAACACACGCAGAGCGAAACAGACACUUUCAACCCAGUUAAAGUUUCAACUGCAUGGAAGUUUAUGAACAACUGCCUGUUUGCUCCAGGGACACGAAGAGAAGAAGAGCACACACUUCUGAGAGAAAUGAAGCACACUCAGAUUACACAAGAGACCAACGUUUAACACGUCUCUCUUUACUCUAAACCGAUACUAAAGAUCGCAAGCAUUCACUGGCUCAGACUCAGUAUGGCUGGAGUUUUAGUUGAGAAAAGCCACGGAUAUAACAAACACAAUCAGAGGCGCAGACAGAGCUACACAAGAGUAAUUGUAGACUAUGGUCCGAUGCACCGUGUAAAUUCAUCCCCAGCUUUGCAUCAGUGCACAGACAUCAAAAUAAUAUGGAAAUUCUGUCUGAAUUAAGUGAAUAAGCCCUUUUCAUCUGGUGCCAUAAGGCAUGUAAAGCAAUGACGUGGAAUAAUCUGUCAUUGGGUUUUGUGGCCGUCAGCAGUAAAAUAUGAAGCUUUAUUCCACUUGCCUUCAAACGCCUGUAAGACUGUUUAAUGUGUUAACCAAACGCCCCGCAGGACUCACGCUGAUGAUAAUGGAUCAGGAAAAACAAGCAAUAUUCAGCUCGCAUAAACAGAUUUGCUCUCUGAGGAGACGCAUAGGGAAAUUAUAUUCACAACUGAGAUAUCAAUAAAACACACAUCCCUCCGAGAGAACAGAAAAACGUCUGAGAAAUGGAGGGGAAAUCAUGUUUUGUUAAAUAUUUCUUAAUGACAUUUGUGCAGGACUCCAAUUAUAUCUUGUUUAUACACUUAAUCAAAAUCUAUGUCUUGUUUUCUAGCAAAGAAAAGAAAAGAAAAGAAACAUCCUUAAAAUAAGAUACAUUUACUUUUUUUGUAAACUAUUGUUUUAAUAACUGAAAUAAUACAUAAUAAACCUCAUUCAGUUUUGUUUAAAACUUCAUUCAAACUAUACAUUCCCUGAAAAAAAAAACUAGAUUUUUUUAUUGCUUGCUAAGUUACCUUGUUUUGAGACACAUUUUUAUCCUGUAAAGCAU